RNAcentral lists this ribosomal RNA (498 nucleotides) under uncultured bacterium. RNAcentral's name for it is "bacterial SSU rRNA". It matches the Rfam family "Bacterial small subunit ribosomal RNA", at positions 24 to 518 of the family's 1533-position model. The record is from RNAcentral.
UCAGGACGAACGCUGGCGGCGUGCUUAACACAUGCAAGUCGAACGAGGAUAUGUCAGAGGAGAGCUUCGGCAGGAAUCAGGCAUAUUCGAGUGGCGGACGGGUGAGUAACGCGUGAGCAACCUGUCCCAGACAGGGGGAUAACACUUGGAAACAGGUGCUAAUACCGCAUAAGACCACGGUAUCACAUGGUAGUGGGGUAAAAGGAGCAAUCCGGUUUGGGGUGGGCUCGCGUCCGAUUAGAUAGUUGGUGAGGUAACGGCCCACCAAGUCGACGAUCGGUAGCCGACCUGAGAGGGCAAACGGCCACAUUGGGACUGAGACACGGCCCAAACUCCUACGGGAGGCAGCAGUGGGGAAUAUUGCACAAUGGAGGAAACUCUGAUGCCAGCGACGCCGCGUGAGUGAAGAAGUAUUUCGGUAUGUAAAGCCCUAUCAGCAGGAAAGAAAAUGACGGUACCUGACUAAGAAGCCCCGGCUAACUACGUGCCAGCAGCCGC